UACGUAGGGCGCAAGCGUUGUCCGGAAUUAUUGGGCGUAAAGAGCUCGUAGGCGGCCUGUUGCGUCCGCUGUGAAAUCCCGGGGCUCAACCCCGGGCCUGCAGUGGAUACGGGCUGGCUAGAGGCAGGCAGGGGAGAACGGAAUUCCUGGUGUAGCGGUGAAAUGCGCAGAUAUCAGGAGGAACACCGGUGGCGAAAGCGGCUCACUGGACCACAACUGACGCUGAUGCGCGAAAGCUAGGGGAGCAAACAGG
This 253-nucleotide ribosomal RNA is filed under the name uncultured bacterium. RNAcentral's name for it is "partial 16S ribosomal RNA". It matches the Rfam family "Bacterial small subunit ribosomal RNA", at positions 524 to 776 of the family's 1533-position model. The record is from RNAcentral.